GGACAGAAUUCUGCGGCCAAGGAGAAGGAAGAAAAAAGAAAAAUUGCCCGCCGUCGCACACGAUCUCCAGACUCUGGGAGAACUGCCAGGCCACGAUCUCAACGCAGACAGACACUAAGGGCGACGUGGGAGUUGAUUGCAGUACAAAUGGAUAUAUCAACACUCAUCCCUCUUCCAAUUUACAGUUCAUACGAAAAUAGAAAACAGACAAAGAAAGAAGAGCAGAGCAUAAUCAAACCCAAACGGAGGAGAAAAUUCUUAUCAAAUCGGCAGAGGAACUACAUUGACUGAUCUGGUCAGGAGAAAUUGGUGUUUUGAAGUGAAGAAGGGCAUGCCAAGCAGUAGAAAGAUUAUACAGAAAUAUAUAUAAACACACCCGUCCACCAAACUCUCUCAAACCAUUUUGGAGGAAAGUUACCAGCUAGGCGCCCUCAACAAAAGAAAAUGUUUCAAAGAAACGAGGGCUUUAGGAGACGUGUUUCUGUGUUUUCAUCUGGUUGGCGAAUGGGACUAUCAGUAAAAAUGAACACCGCUAAUCUUAGUGAACUUAUUUUGAAAGAGUGGAAGAAAAAAAAGCAUGCACAGUAUGUACUCUGUUAGUUUGUUUCUUAUCUUCCAAGUGUAGUUAUCAAAUUGAUUGUCACCUUUUGAAAUUCUUACAGUUGGUGCUACAAAAACGCAUGUAGAGAGUUAUUAACACAUGAUAUUUGUCACAUUAAACGAACUUGGAGAAAAGUUUUGCGCAUUAGUUCUACAUCAAGCGUUUUCAGGAUUUGAAACAUGAUAUUGAGCAUUCUUCCAAUAAUUGGAGCAAGGGUGUUGCAGUAAGGGAAUUGUCUAACUUCAUGUUUGGGCAACGACUGAUGACAAAUGGAUGGCUGAGAUGGAGUUGAUUGGAGCAUGUUAACUUUAAUGAACAAAUAUGUAUAUAUGCACUUUUUAGAAGAUUCUUUUUAAAAAGUACGUUUGUAAACAUUUGUAUAUAUUGGUGCAUGUUUCUGUAUGGAGAUUAAUGUUUUUUUUACUAAUGAAUUGCCA
Rosa chinensis is the source of this 1038-nucleotide RNA transcript. RefSeq lists it as uncharacterized. The record is from RefSeq and is a predicted model, not a curated record. The transcript has 6 exons. Lineage: Eukaryota; Viridiplantae; Streptophyta; Magnoliopsida; Rosales; Rosaceae.